RNAcentral lists this long non-coding RNA (622 nucleotides) under Monodelphis domestica (gray short-tailed opossum). Its description in RNAcentral is "lncRNA (ENSMODG00000039427.1)". The record is from RNAcentral. Lineage: Eukaryota; Metazoa; Chordata; Mammalia; Didelphimorphia; Didelphidae.
AUUACCUCACAUGUCUAUUACUCUUAAAUUGCAGAACAAGGGCUAAUCAUUCUUAAUUGGUAAAGGUAGUUUUCUCACUGGGAAUUCCCUUUUAUUAAUGAAAUACUUUAAGGUAAAAAAAUAAUGAUGCAAAAGCAGCACUAGGUAAGAAGGCAAUAUAAAGGCAAAAAAGACGUCAUCUCUGCCUUUGGCAUUGGCCCUUUACUUUGUGACCAACAUCUAUCUCUCAGUGAUAUAAAGAAGUCGACAAGCUCAAUGUAAAGAAACAUUUCCCCAUAGUUAGAACUCCUGUUGCUUCAAAAGGAGAGAGGGCUACAAGAGAUAGUUGACUUACCCUUUAUGGUAGGUCUUCCAGCAAAGAUUUGGUAACCAUGGAUCAAUGAUGUUCUAGUUUCAUAGACCUGAACCAUUUUAUACUGGAGUUUGACAACACUGAUCUAGAUCCUGGUACAAUGAGAAGUAUGAGGAAGGAAAGAUAACUUUUAUCUGGAUCUGAAAGUCAAGAAAUUAUCAAAUUAAUAAACAGAUGAAAUUGGCUGGUUCUAGGACAUGGAUCAGAGAUUUACAUGGGAAGGACUCAGUGGCAAGAGAGAUUAAAGAUACACAAAAUAUAAUGGAGAUA